RNAcentral lists this ribosomal RNA (465 nucleotides) under uncultured bacterium. Its description in RNAcentral is "bacterial SSU rRNA". It matches the Rfam family "Bacterial small subunit ribosomal RNA", at positions 330 to 793 of the family's 1533-position model. The record is from RNAcentral.
UCCAGACUCCUACGGGAGGCAGCAGUGAGGAAUAUUGGUCAAUGGGCGAGAGCCUGAACCAGCCAAGUCGCGUGAGGGAAGACGGUCCUAUGGAUUGUAAACCUCUUUUGCCGGGGAGCAAAAAGCGGUACGUGUACCGCAUCGAGAGUACCCGGAGAAAAAGCAUCGGCUAACUCCGUGCCUGCAGCCGCGGUAAUACGGAGGAUGCGAGCGUUAUCCGGAUUUAUUGGGUUUAAAGGGUGCGCAGGCGGCGAGUUAAGUCAGGGGAAAAAUUUGGGGGCACAACCCCGACAAGCCGUUGAAACUGGCAGUCUCGAGUUGGAGAGAAGUAUGCGGAAUGCGCGGUGUAGCGGUGAAAUGCAUAGAUAUCGCGCAGAACUCCGAUUGCGAAGGCAGCAUGCCGGCUCCACACUGACGCUGAGGCACGAAAGCGUGGGUAUCGAACAGGAUUAGAUACCCCGGUAC